Molecule: ribosomal RNA, 468 nt
Filed under: uncultured bacterium
Lineage: Bacteria
Description: partial 16S ribosomal RNA
Rfam family: Bacterial small subunit ribosomal RNA
Source: RNAcentral
GACGAACGCUGGCGGCGUGCUUAACACAUGCAAGUCGAACGGAAAGGCCCUGCUUUUGUGGGGUGCUCGAGUGGCGAACGGGUGAGUAACACGUGAGUAACCUGCCCUUGACUUUGGGAUAACUUCAGGAAACUGGGGCUAAUACCGGAUAGAAGCUCCUGCUGCAUGGUGGGGGUUGGAAAGUUUCGGCGGUUGGGGAUGGACUCGCGGCUUAUCAGCUUGUUGGUGGGGUAGUGGCUUACCAAGGCUUUGACGGGUAGCCGGCCUGAGAGGGUGACCGGCCACAUUGGGACUGAGAGACGGCCCAGACUGCUACGGGAGGCAGAAGUGGGGAAUAUUGCACAGUGGGCGGAAGCCUGAUGCAGCAACGCCGCGUGCGGGAUGCCGGCCUUCGGGUUGUAAACCGCUUUCGCCUGUGACGAAGCGUGAGUGACGGUAAUGGGUAAAGAAGCACCGGCUAACUACGUG